ACGGCUCAGUAACACGUAGACAACUUACCCUUGGGACCGGGAUAACCCUUGGGAAACUAGGGCUAAUACCGGAUAGUGCAUCGAUCGCUGGAAUGCAUGAUGUACGAAAGCUGAGGCGCCCAAGGAUAGGUCUGUGGCCGAUUAGGUUGUUGUUGAUGUAACGGAUCAACAAGCCUACGAUCGGUACGGGUUGUGAGAGCAAUAGCCCGGAGAUGGGUUCUGAGAGAAGAACCCAGGUCCUACGGGACGCAUCAGGCGCGAAAACUUUACAAUGUGCGAAAGCACGAUAAGGGAACUCUGAGUGCCUCCUAAGGAGGCUGUUCAGAUGUUUAAAAAGCAUCUGGAGGAAGGGCUGGGUAAGACCGGUGCCAGCCGCCGCGGUAACACCGGCAGCCCAAGUGGUAGUCAUGCUUACUGGGUCUAAAGCGUCCGUAGCCGGCCAGGUAAGUUCCUUGGGAAAUUUGAUCGCUUAACGAUCAAGCUACCUGGGAAUACUACUCGGCUUGGGACCGGGAGAGGUCAGAGGUACCUCAAGGGUAGGGGUGAAAUCCGUUAAUCCUCGGGGGACCACCGGUAGCGAAGGCGUCUGACCAGACCGGAUCCGACGGUGAGGGACGAAGGCUAGGGGAGCGAAGCGGAUUAGAUACCCGCGUAGUCCUAGCUGUAAACGAUGCGGGCUAGGUGUUGGCAUUACUGCGAGUGAUGCCAGUGCCGAAGGGAAGCCGUUAAGCCCGCCAUCUGGGGAGUACGGUCGCAAGGCUGAAACUUAAAGGAAUGGCGGGGGAGCAC
Molecule: ribosomal RNA, 789 nt
Filed under: uncultured archaeon
Lineage: Archaea
Description: bacterial SSU rRNA
Rfam family: Archaeal small subunit ribosomal RNA
Source: RNAcentral